GUGGGGAAUCUUCCGCAAUGGACGAAAGUCUGACGGAGCAACGCCGCGUGAGUGAAGAAGGUUUUCGGAUCGUAAAGCUCUUUCGUUAGGGACGAACGUGCUCUUUGUGAAUAAUGAGGAGUAAUGACGGUACCUAAAUAAGAAGCCACGGCUAACUACGUGCCAGCAGCCGCGGUAAUACGUAGGUGGCAAGCGUUGUCCGGAAUUAUUGGGCGUAAAGCGCGCGCAGGCGGGAUAUCAAGUCUGUCUUAAAAGUGCGGGGCGCAACCUCGUAAGGGGACAGAAACUGGUAUUCUUGAGUGUCGGAGAGGAAAGUGGAAUUCCAAGUGUAGCGGUGAAAUGCGUAGAGAUUUGGAAGAACACCAGUGGCGAAGGCGACUUUCUGGACGAUGUCUGACGCUGAGGCGCGAAAGCUAGGGGAGCGAACGGGAUUAGAAACCCCAGUAGUCC
RNAcentral lists this ribosomal RNA (450 nucleotides) under uncultured bacterium. Its description in RNAcentral is "partial 16S ribosomal RNA". It matches the Rfam family "Bacterial small subunit ribosomal RNA", at positions 354 to 796 of the family's 1533-position model. The record is from RNAcentral.